Molecule: ribosomal RNA, 484 nt
Filed under: uncultured bacterium
Lineage: Bacteria
Description: partial 16S ribosomal RNA
Rfam family: Bacterial small subunit ribosomal RNA
Source: RNAcentral
AUUGAACGCUGGCGGCAGGCCUAACACAUGCAAGUCGAGCGGAUGAAGGGAGCUUGCUCCUGGAUUCAGCGGCGGACGGGUGAGUAAUGCCUAGGAAUCUGCCUGGUAGUGGGGGAUAACGUCCGGAAACGGGCGCUAAUACCACAUACGUCCUGAGGGAGAAAGUGGGGGAUCUUCGGACCUCACGCUAUCAGAUGAGCCUAGGUCGGAUUAGCUAGUUGGUGGGGUAAAGGCCUACCAAGGCGACGAUCCGUAACUGGUCUGAGAGGAUGAUCAGUCACAUUGGAACUGAGACACGGUCCCGAGUACUACGGGAGGCAGCAGUGGGGAAUAUUGGACAAUGGGCGGAAGCAUGAUCCAGCCAUGCCGAGUGUGUGAAGAAGGUCUUCGGAUUGUAAAGCACUUUAAGUUGGGAGGAAGGGCAGUAAGUUAAUACCUUGCUGUUUUGACGUUACCAACAGAAUAAGCACCGGCUAACUUCGUG